This 453-nucleotide ribosomal RNA is filed under the name uncultured bacterium. RNAcentral's name for it is "bacterial SSU rRNA". It matches the Rfam family "Bacterial small subunit ribosomal RNA", at positions 28 to 507 of the family's 1533-position model. The record is from RNAcentral.
GACGAACGCUGGCGGCGUGCCUAACACAUGCAAGUCGAACGGAGCACUUCGGUGCUUAGUGGCGAACGGGUGAGUAACGCGUGAGAAACCUGCCUUUCAGUGGGGGACAACAGUUGGAAACGACUGCUAAUACCGCAUAAUGUUAUUUGGGGGCAUCCCCGAAUAACCAAAGCUUUAUGUGCUGAAAGAUGGUCUCGCGUCUGAUUAGCUAGAUGGCGGGGUAACGGCCCACCAUGGCGACGAUCAGUAGCCGGUCUGAGAGGAUGAACGGCCACAUUGGGACUGAGAUACGGCCCAGACUCCUACGGGAGGCAGCAGUGGGGAAUAUCGCACAAUGGGCGAAAGCCUGAUGCAGCGACGCCGCGUGAGCGAAGAAGUAUUUCGGUAUGUAAAGCUCUAUCAGCAGGGAAGAAAAUGACGGUACCUGACUAAGAAGCACCGGCUAAAUACGUG